UGAGCAAUCUGCCCUUCUCAUCGGAAUAAGCGUUGGGAACGACGUCUAAUGCCGAAUACGACCUCCUUUCGCAUGAUCGGAGGUGGAAAGCUCCGGCGGAGAAGGAUGAGCUCGCGGCCUAUCAGCUAGUUGGUGUGGGUAAUGGCCCACCAAGGCGACGACGGGUAGCCGGCCUGAGAGGGUGACCGGCCACACUGGGACUGAGUCACGGCCCAGACUCCUACGGGAGCAG
Molecule: ribosomal RNA, 232 nt
Filed under: uncultured bacterium
Lineage: Bacteria
Description: partial 16S ribosomal RNA
Rfam family: Bacterial small subunit ribosomal RNA
Source: RNAcentral